This is a long non-coding RNA of Nematostella vectensis (starlet sea anemone), 7855 nucleotides long. RefSeq lists it as uncharacterized. The record is from RefSeq and is a predicted model, not a curated record. NCBI's taxonomy places the organism in Eukaryota, Metazoa, Cnidaria, Anthozoa, Actiniaria, Edwardsiidae. The transcript is spliced from 3 exons.
CACCGGAGACUUGAACUGGAAUCUAUUAAUUACAUCCGAACUGAUUCGGGGCAAACGUUGUUCCUUCCAUGUACCUAUUUCCAAAACAAUAGGUUCGACUGAAUUAAGUUUGGUCCGACUGCAAACCUUAGACAGAGAUGGACAAGUCAGCUCCAACGUGUCCUCAAGGUUAGAUGAGUUUUGUUAUUUUCGGUGAACAAAAGGAAAGAUCUAAAACAAUGAGCGAUAUGGUGUGAAGUAGAAGCCAUCACGAACAAAACAAUAACUUAACAUGAAAAAUACGUAUCAUUUCUACAUGUCUUAAUAGAAAAAAAUAUAUGGAAUCAAUAUGGAAUUCAAAAGCUACUCCAUAAGCAUUUCUUUUACACAUUUUAAAGCUUGAUGCAAGCGCCCGCUGAUCUGACUGCCUGCGGGUUGUUUUAUGUUUUCAACAUCUGAAAAUCGCUUGUUUCAUUGCUUGUGGUCAAAUGAUUAUUUUUUUUCUAUGAAAUUAUAAAUACUCUAAGCCUAUUCUUUAUCUCAGGUUACGUAAAUAUUAAAAACAGACAUUUUAUAUGCUAGGAAUUUUAUGCUAGCGGCUAUAACACGAUUGGGCAAAAGCAGGCGGCAUGACUUGACACGUCACAUCACCAGUGGAUACCACCCUUAUUUUGUUGGUAGCUAUAGCUUCGCUUUUAUAGCACGAUAGAGCAAGCAGGCGGAGAGACAAGACUUCACGAUGGAGCGAAAAAACUUUAAAAAAACGCUAGAAAAUUAUCUUUCUCGGUGCAACAGCUAUUCUCAUUCUGUUUAUAAUUGCGUUUUUACCUACCUUUCUUUACACAAACACAAGAAUAGACAAAAGCAUCCAGAGAAAUGGAUUUUUCUUUCGCGAGAUCUUGUCGUCGAGAACAACACAGUAAGUCUUAUUUUUGACAAUAUAACUGUUGGCAUUUUUUAGGCUUGAAGCAUACGUCGUACCUAACACGAACCUAAUUCAGUCAAAUCUAUUGUUUUGGAAAUAGGUACAUGGACGGUGCGACGUUUGUCGCGAAUUGGUUCGAGUGUGUUAAUAGAUUAAAUUUUCUGGUUGCAGAAGCCGGAAAAUAGGGGUUUCGCACAAGUUGAGAGCUAGAGAAGGUUUAAAAGCAGAUUUGAGGAGAUAUUGCUCCCCUAAACAACACCUGGUAGUUAGUGGAGUCGAAUUGUGUUAUACGUUUAAAAUUAUUUAAGUUAAUUUCGGGUGAAAAACCACAGGGUACCCGAGUUCGAAUUUUACAAAAUAAUUUAUUAAGCAUGCAAAACAUACAAUAAAGGCAUUGAAACAUCCUACAAAUAUACUUUCCAUAUGUUUCAAGUCGCUUCAACUAAUACGGCCUUAAACCACAGGGUGCCCGAGUCAUAUAUUUGCAAGGUUCCUCUGUGUUAACUCAUAAGCUUGGGAAAUAACCCAUAGAUUUUUUAUUCUUUUGUCGUUUAUAAUUCAGAAGCUACGUAAACAUAAUACUCCAGUGUCAAAUAUAGCAUCUGAGCUAAAUCUAAGCUCCUUUAUGCUUCUCUUUUAUAUCUAAAGAGACCACAGGGAUCCCAAGUCAAGUUUUUCUUUAAAUAACGAGUCAAUGGUAAAACACCUGGUGACAGCUCCUUGUCCUUGAAUGACUAAAUUAAAAGAAUGUUCACAAUGAAAGCCGACUGAGAUCUGUUUGGAAGACUUUGCAAAUGCAAGACAAGUCAACCUAGCAGUCCCCUGCGCAAUUGCCUACAAUGAUGGAAGUUUUAGGAAGUUCACCAUAAGUCGCAAUUCUUGAGGAAGCGUUUGACACAUAUGGUGUGUUGUUAAUAUCUUGGGUGGAAUGGCAUUAUUUAGAUGCAAACAUGUUUUGUGAGCUUGCGCAGAAAUAUUUCACCACCAUCAUGAGGCAGAUCACCACCCAAAGCUGCUCUAUUCUUAACAUGGCCUUUGAUGAGUAUUUGGAUACAACGAUUCAGGCUUUGAAGAGGGCCAGGAAAGGGUCUACAGAUGGUCUUGAGACCAAUACACAAUACACCAGAGUCACGACAAUGGUCCAAGUACAUAUAGAACCGAAAGAACAAGACCGUCUGAUGCCCGGGAAGGAUCUUUUCAUAUGAGGAGGUCUUUUCAAUGGAGAGAAAGCAGCCAAUGGCAGAAAUCAGGAAGCUUGAGUCCACAAAAUACAGGGCCUGGAUGAGGUAAACCGACUAGCGACAAACGGCUUAAAAAAAUAACUGAAUACCAACAAAACAUGAAAAAAAACUAGUGAAUAGCGACAAAAAAAUAUUUGCAGACAACCGACAUUUUAUUAUUUCGGAUAUUUUUACACUUUACUUCCAUCGUCAAUGGAUCGUCUACUUAAAUUCGGCCAUUUCAGAAUCUGCACUAUGCAUUUCCUGUUGCAUCAUCUUUUCAUUCAAUAAUUAAUCAAUAAUGAAUUUAUUAUCAAUAAGUUAUUCAUUACUAAUCCAUUAAAUAUGGUACAAGAGCGAUUACUAGCUUGGAUUCACGGACUACCGACAAAGACCGAUAAUUCUUACCGACUACCGAGAAAUUAUGGAAAUUUUAACUGACUACCGAGAUGCAGACCCCUACCCCAUCCUGACCCUGAAAGAACAGACACGCAAAUGAUUCUGCAUGCUGCCUACGAUGCAAGCGACUUCUCAACAGUCAUCAUUCAAUCCCUAGUACAGAUGUCCUCGCCCUUCGUAUCACGCACUUCAUUUCCAUCAGAUGUCAGAGGUUUUACUACUAGCAUUCCAUGUGUUAACCGGGUGCGAUUCCACAAGCAGCCUACCUGGUAGAGGAAAAAGGAAACCAUGGCUAACGCUAAGACAAAGAGCUGCACGCCAAUAGACGCUUAGUCUGUUUGGUCAGCAUCAAGUCCUCGAUAAUGAGAAAGCAGCGAAGACAGAGGCUCAGCUGACGAGCUGCGCCAUCUGAUGUUCUAACAUCAGACAGCCUCAUGCAACAUAUGGAGCGUGCCAGCUUCCAACCGUUCGGUUGUUGACCAAGUCCAGAGGAACAUGGAUAAGAAAAGCAAGACGGAAAUAUCAGGCCUGUCUACAUGACGAGAGACCCAGAUCCACCCAGUCUUAUCGAGCCGACAAGGUUUGGAUGCUUAUGUCAACGGAAGCCUGUUCAUGUAUGGCUGAAGAGGCGAAGAGCCCCCAUAACAUGGCGAGCAAGUAGAUGAGUCAGAGGACGAAAACAGUGAUAAUGAGUAGGAUCAAGUCCUGUUAUGCUAGCGCCAAACCUUAGCAAUUACCUUCUUUUUCUUUUACGAUGCAUUAAAUACAUUCUUUUUAUAUAGCUGAGAUGUCGGAUGAGAAGAGUCCGGGUACCAAAGCCUAGAUGGAAAGAGGGCUGAUCUAUGUUAUGCCUAUCAAGUAACUUUGUUUUCCAUUUUUAAAGAAGUAAUAUUUGGGCUCCCUGUGGUUUUAAUGUCAUGCAAGGAUAAACAUUUGGUACAAAAAAACGCAAUUUCAAUGCAGGACUGCAAUUGCUAAUAUUGCAUCUUUUCAUAUUAAGUUAGCAUAGCAUCCUGAUCAAACAUUCUCUGAAUAGUUAUCUAUGUGAGUCAUUCAUGCAAAUGUAAGACUCGGGCACCCUGUGGCUGUAUCAGUUGGAACCACUUGAAACAUAUGGAAAGUAUGUUUGUAGGAUCUUUCCAUGCUCAUAUUGUAUGUUUUUCAUGCUAAAUAAUUUAUUUUGUAAAAUUCAUACUCGGUUACACUGUGGUUUUCCACCCGGGAAAAAAAAAAAAAAAAACGUAAAUAAUUCUCCACUAACUACCAGGCGUUGUUCACAUGACCAAUAUCAACUUAAAUCUGUUUUCAAACCUUCUCUAACUCUCGACUUGUGCGAAACCUCCUGCUGGUACAAUAUGUGCGUUUUAAAGAAAUAGAUGUCAGUAGUCGUGUACUGUUUACAUUUAAAUGAUUGGAAGCUGUUUAAACUAAAUUUAACUCUCCGAAAAACAGUUUUUCUCGAUGAUUUUCGAUCUCAAUUUCUAUUCUAUAGCAUUCUUGUAUAUUUCACAUGCUUUGAAAAUGUUUUCCACGGCGGUGAAAACAAGAUCGACUUAAUUUCAGCAUAUAUCCAAAGCCAUUUUGAGUAGACAUUGCUUUUUCUUCGGGGCAAUCUUGUGGUAUUCUUCGCUAAUUAUCGGUUGUAGACUAUUGUUAUGAUGUACCAAAUGAGAAUGCUAGAAGUAAAAGAGAAUUUUAUUUAUUUUAUUGCCGAUAACAUGGAUUUUGAGUAGAAUCGAGCAAUUUAUUUCGCUCCCUAAUGAAAUGCGUUACGUUGCGAAGACGUCAUCUCGAAAGCAACGAUGAAGGCAACACGGACGGCGACUGCAGAGAACACAUGAAAAUUCAAAUAACCAGAAGUGAAAUGCACUCGAAAAUAGAUUCUCUCUGAUCAUAGUUAGUACUAUAGCGGUUAGCAUAAAGUCAUUUAUAGUCAUUUUAAUAGCCAAACAGCAUAAUUCAAGACCCAAGGAAAACUAAUUUCGCGGCAGCCCGUCAUGCUGCAAUCUUUGCCUAGCCGAGAAGCUAGAACGGACCGCACGUGACGCUACACUCUUAAAUAAACGAACCGAGCUAGUUACGAAAUGCCGCCAUUUAAUAAAUACCAUGCAACGAUCUAUGAAGGUAGUUGAACUGUUAGGUAAAUUCAGAGCCUAACGAUUGCUCCCUAAUGAAAUGCGUUACGUUGCGAAGACGUCAUCUCGAAAGCAACGAUGAAGGCAACACGGACGGCGACUGCAGAGAACACAUGAAAAUUCAAAUAACCAGAAGUGAAAUGCACUCGAAAAUAGAUUCUCUCUGAUCAUAGUUAGUACUAUAGCGGUUAGCAUAAAGUCAUUUAUAGUCAUUUUAAUAGCCAAACAGCAUAAUUCAAGACCCAAGGAAAACUAAUUUCGCGGCAGCCCGUCAUGCUGCAAUCUUUGCCUAGCCGAGAAGCUAGAACGGACCGCACGUGACGCUACACUCUUAAAUAAACGAACCGAGCUAGUUACGAAAUGCCGCCAUUUAAUAAAUACCAUGCAACGAUCUAUGAAGGUAGUUGAACUGUUAGGUAAAUUCAGAGCCUAACGAUUGCUUCAUAGCAUGAAACUCGCCGGUGCGCCAGGAACCAUACGUUCAUUACUACCCUUCGGUAGCCGCACGCUAAGGCGCAAAAACAACAGAAUGUGUGUGUCUCGUGCUGGGUGCCUGCGAACUGGUACCACUACACAUUUUAUUAGAAAUCAAACGUGGUAUAUAAAUACAAUGCAGAAAAUAUUCUUAACUUAAAAAUUAUAAUACCUAACAUAUUAGUGCAAGUACAAUUACACAAUUCAAAAAAAUCAAUAAUCUUUUGAAAAUACAACUUCAAAAUCACACGCCCGGUACGAAAACCCGGAUAAAACCCUAUAGGCAAAAAACCCGGGAAAUUAUUCCUCGAUCGAAUGCGUUGAUUAUAUAGCCUCGAGGAUUAAGGCCUUAAUCUAAUAUACCAUGAAGUUUGGUUACACAGUGGUACUAGCGUCCAACAUGCGAGAUGAAAUAAUUACCAUAUCUCUCAUAGCUUUAUCGUAUAUAUACGAUAUGUAGUGCUAAAGUAGUUACGUAAUAAAAUUACAAAAUAAAAAAUAGUUGUUAUAUUUAAACAAAAGAUCACGUAAUGUGAUAACACAUACUCAGAACCGUAACGAAAACGCUUUCCAACUGCACGUUGUUACGUUGGAAAGCAUUUAAUUAUUUUACAGUCACUUUUUCCGUUUUUUUUUUUUUUUGUUUUUUUUUUAGUCCGUUGGUGCGAGUUGCAUGGCAAUGUAAUCCUCAUCAUUGCGGUAAGAAGACGGAGGCGUUUUUAUUGCAGGAUGUUUAAAUUUUAUAGUGACUAAGUCGGCAUCGGCUUUUUUACUUUGUAUUGCCAGACAAGCGAAAUAAAAAAAGCCUCUGCUAGCAGUGAAAGUUGAAUGUUUGGUCAAGCUGAACAUAAAUAGAGUAAUUGGAUGGAAUCAUUGGGGUUGGAUUGCAGUGUUCUAACCAUCACGUAUUAUUAUGAAACCUUGGUUCCAGAGUCGUCUUCCUUCUCUUGCUUCUUCUACUAUCUACAAUCGUAAAUAGAGCUAAACAACCUGGAUCAGUGCACAAAGAGCACAAAAUGCCCUCUGGGGUAGUACUGGUGAUUUGAUGAUUAAAUAUAUUAAUGGAUGGAAUUUAUCCAAUACAUUGCAGCAAGUGAAUGAAAAACAUUUCGACGCAGGGGUAUAAAAUAAGUGUUGCAAACAUAAAUAGACGCAAUGAAGAGUAAGACAUAUGUAUUUGGAAGGAGUUUUAUGAAAGACUUCGUGACCUAAUUGAUAUUCACAAAGGAAGUUAACAGCACAUGCUUGAUUAAGAAUGCGCUGAGUUGAGUGGGCUCCCCUGUGCACCGGAGACUUGAACUUGAAUCUAUUAAUUACAUCCGAACUGAUUCGGGGCAAACGUUGUUCCUUCCAUGUACCUAUUUCUAAAACAAUAGGUUCGACUGAAUAAUGUUUUAGUUUGGUCCGACGUAUGCUGCAAGCCUUAGACAGAGAUGGACAAGUCAGCUCCAACGUGUCCUCAAGACACAGAAUUCCGUUCGAACAUAGAGAAAAGCUGGUAAUAGCGUUUGAAGAUGACGCAGAAGAUCAUCUUCAAGUGGUUGACACACUGGGUGUUAACCGCUCUACAGCUAGAAGCAUUGUGGCGCGAUACAUCCAGCAUGGGCGCAUAAGGGAGCUGCCAAGAGGCGGACCGAAUAACGUGCGCGCAGACGACAAGAUGCGUGACUGUGUUAAAGAAAUCAUCAACGAGAACUGCCUUCUCACCCUACAGCAAAUCAACUGACAGCUCAGGGCACGUCUCCCUUCUAAACCUAAGGUCCAUGACCGGACAGUGGCAAGGAUGCUGGACGGGAUGCUUUACCUGGUUAAGCUCGCGAGACCACUACCCGCGGACAGAAACAGACCAGAUGUUCUGCAUAAAAGGGUGGAGUACGCCAACUGGUUCAUGGCUAUUGGCGUUGUAAGACAUUGUAUCUUUAUAGACGAAUGUGGGUACAAUAUUUGGACUGCCAGAAACCACGGAAUGGCAAGGCUAGGAGAAAGAGCAUACCGACAGUUGUGUAGGAAGCGUGGCCGAAAUUUGACUGUCACGAUGGCAUUAUCCCCGAUUAAUGGGCUGAUAUUCCAUUCAGCAUUCGUUGGUGGUAUAAAUGCUAGACGAUUUGCGGAUGUUUUUUACGCAAGUGCGGCUAAAUCUUGAUCCUGAUGAGAACGUCGUGUUAAUUUAUGAUGGGGCAUCAGCGCACCGCAUCGCCGUUAACCCGGGCCCAAAUACAGAAAUAAAGAUGUUGCCGCCCUACAGUCCGUUUCUAAACCCUGUAGAGCAGGCAAUAAGUUGUUCAAAAGCAGCGAUAAAAGCAGACAUUUUACGGCCUCAAAUACAGGCAGAAAUGAACAACAGGGAUAAAGCAAGGAACAGAGGAGUAACAUUGAGUAUUUAUCGCACAAAUUUGUUGAUUGAAGCGCUUCAGCGAAACAUCAACACCAUCACACAGCCAAAAUGUGCCGAAUGGUAUAGGUUCAUGCAAACCUAUCUACCACGCUGCCUCAACUGCGAAAUGAUCGGGGCGUAAUUUGAGUGCUAGCAUCAAUUAUUUUCCAUGUCUGUGCAUUAUUAGAGCACCAAUAAACAAUAAGUAGUUGAAUGUUUAUUUUAGGAUAUUGUUUGUCAUAAAGGGCUUAUUGUUUGUACGGAGGCGCUAACGAUUGUAAAUAGCACACAAAUAACUUUUAAAAAAAAAUAUUGUUUGCACUUGCUGUAAUAAAAAUGUUCAUGAAUA